GACGAACGCUGGCGGCGUGCCUAAUACAUGCCAGUAGAACGCACAGUUUAUACCGUAGCUUGCUACACCAUAGACUGUGAGUUGCGAACGGGUGAGUAACGCGUAGGUAACCUGCCUGGUAGCGGGGGAUAACUAUUGGAAACGAUAGCUAAUACCGCAUAAUAUUGAUUAUUGCAUGAUAAUUAAUUGAAAGGUGCAAUUGCACCACUACCAGAUGGACCUGCGUUGUAUUAGCUAGUAGGUGAGGUAACGGCUCACCUAGGCGACGAUACAUAGCCGACCUGAGAGGGUGAUCGGCCACACUGGGACUGAGACACGGCCCAGACUCCUACGGGAGGCAGCAGUAGGGAAUCUUCGGCAAUGGACGAAGUCUGACCGAGCAACGCCGCGUGAGUGAAGAAGGUUUUCGGAUCGUAAAGCUCUGUUGUAAGAGAAGAACGGGUGUGAGAGUGGAAAGUUCACACUGUGACGGUAUCUUACCAGAAAGGGACGGCUAACUACGUG
This 504-nucleotide ribosomal RNA is filed under the name uncultured bacterium. RNAcentral describes it as "partial 16S ribosomal RNA". It matches the Rfam family "Bacterial small subunit ribosomal RNA", at positions 28 to 507 of the family's 1533-position model. The record is from RNAcentral.